RNAcentral lists this non-coding RNA (227 nucleotides) under Gossypium arboreum. RNAcentral's name for it is "Bacterial large subunit ribosomal RNA". It matches the Rfam family "Bacterial large subunit ribosomal RNA", at positions 1783 to 2014 of the family's 2925-position model. Lineage: Eukaryota; Viridiplantae; Streptophyta; Magnoliopsida; Malvales; Malvaceae. The record is from Rfam by way of RNAcentral.
UGAAUAGGUUCGGGAGACUGUUUACCAGUCUUCGUAAAGUCGUAAGACUAUGCAUGGGGACUAACGCUUGUCUAAUGUUGGAAGGUCAGGAUAGUUGGUGACCUAAUGAUAGGAGAGCCGGUGAUCAAAGCCCCUAUAAAUGGCGGCCGUAACUAUAACAGUCGUAAGAUAAUAAAAUUUCUUAUUAGGUAAGUUCUGACCCGCACGAAAGGCGUAACGAUUUGGGA